This 449-nucleotide ribosomal RNA is filed under the name uncultured bacterium. RNAcentral's name for it is "partial 16S ribosomal RNA". It matches the Rfam family "Bacterial small subunit ribosomal RNA", at positions 329 to 795 of the family's 1533-position model. The record is from RNAcentral.
UUCCAGACUCCUACGGGAGGCAGCAGUGGGGAAUAUUGCACAAUGGGGGAAACCCUGAUGCAGCAACGCCGCGUGAGUGAAGAAGUAUUUCGGUAUGUAAAGCUCUAUCAGCAGGGAAGAAAAUGACAGUACCUGACUAAGAAGCCCCGGCUAACUACGUGCCAGCAGCCGCGGUAAUACGUAGGGGGCAAGCGUUAUCCGGAUUUACUGGGUGUAGAGGGAGCGUAGACGGCAGCGCAAGUCUGAAGUGAAAUGCCGGGGCUUAACCCCGGAACUGCUUUGGAAACUGAGCAGCUAGAGUGCAGGAGAGGUAAGUGGAAUUCCUAGUGUAGCGGUGAAAUGCGUAGAUAUUAGGAGGAACACCAGUGGCGAAGGCGGCUUACUGGACGAUGACUGACGCUGAGGCUCGAAAGCGUGGGGAGCAAACAGGAUUAGAUACCCCAGUAGAA